Molecule: long non-coding RNA, 538 nt
Filed under: Macaca fascicularis (crab-eating macaque)
Lineage: Eukaryota; Metazoa; Chordata; Mammalia; Primates; Cercopithecidae
Description: lncRNA (ENSMFAG00000046889.2)
Source: RNAcentral
AUGAGAGAAAAAAGUAUUUUUACUGAUAGAGAUUUUAGCUCCUCCCAAUUCUUGCUUAAAUUAUCCAACUCUUGGGUUAUAAAUUUGCUUUUUAGUGACAGCAUAGCUGCAGCCUGCAGGGUCUCUGAAGAAUGGGUCUUCAUCAGAGGACAUGUCUCCUGGCAAGGGGGCAUUUGCUGCCUGCUGCCCAGCUCUGAGCAACAGCCCGGAGCCCUGCUGGCUGCUCUCCGCACCCUGAAGCCGGCUCUGAGUUCGACCAAUGCUCAGCCUUCGCUGGUGCGGCCAGGGCCCUCAUCUGCUGCUUCCAUUUCAGAUCUCUUCCUAUUUGGAAUUUCACAGCGCUGUGGUCAGCCUGAGCAAAUAAGAAUAUUGAUAGGCUUGAAAGGCAAGAACCUCUUCAGAGAAUGAACUUCAUUAGUCACUAACCCAAGAUCCCAUCAGCUGAGACAGAAUUUCCAGAGCAAAGGGAAGUGAGAGGUUCCCCCUGCCAUGCAACUUUGCAUCAUUCUAGAAAACAACUUUCAUUUAAAUUCAAACU